UGAUUUAUAGAGUCUGGCCUGCCCACUGGGGAAUCUAAAGGGCCGCGGAAUUUUAACCGUGCAAAGGUAGCAUAGUCAUUAGGCUUUUAAUUGGAGUCUUGUAUGAAUGGCCGGACAAGAACCUAGCUGUCUCAGAAGUAAAGAUUGAAAUUGACUUUCGGGUGAAAAGGCUUGAAUAUUUUAAAGGGACGAUAAGACCCUAUAAAGCUUAAUAAUUUNACAAAUAUUUAAAUAAUUUAUUAGUAUAAUAUAAUUUGAUUGGCAAAUUAUUUCGUUGGGGCGACGAUAAUAUAAUUUGUAACUGUUUAAGAGNUUUAAUUCAGAUAUAUCUGUAUUUAGUGAUCCAUUANCCAUGAUUAAAAGUUAAAGUUACUUUAGGGAUAACAGCGUUAUUUAUUUUGAGAGUUCAUAUCGACAAAGAAGUUUGCGACCUCGAUGUUGAAUUAAAAUNUUUAUCAUNGGCGUAGCAGUCCAGGAUAGUNAGGUCUGGUUCACCUUNNAAA
Molecule: ribosomal RNA, 503 nt
Filed under: Nephropsis stewarti
Lineage: Eukaryota; Metazoa; Arthropoda; Malacostraca; Decapoda; Nephropidae
Description: partial 16S ribosomal RNA
Rfam family: Bacterial large subunit ribosomal RNA
Source: RNAcentral